This is a non-coding RNA of Schistocerca cancellata (South American locust), 74 nucleotides long. The record is from the annotation of a RefSeq genome assembly. NCBI's taxonomy places the organism in Eukaryota, Metazoa, Arthropoda, Insecta, Orthoptera, Acrididae.
ACUGUGGUGGUGUAAUGGUUAGCAUUUUUUGCCUAGCAAGCACGAAGAUCCGGGUUCGAGUCCCGGUCACAGCA